RNAcentral lists this transfer RNA (88 nucleotides) under Salmo salar (Atlantic salmon). It matches the Rfam family "tRNA". Rfam says of the family: Transfer RNA (tRNA) molecules are approximately 80 nucleotides in length. The record is from Rfam by way of RNAcentral. Lineage: Eukaryota; Metazoa; Chordata; Actinopteri; Salmoniformes; Salmonidae.
CCCUGUGGCUCAGUUGGUAGAGCAUGGUGUGUGCAAUGCCAGCAUGGUGUGCGCAACGCCAAGGUUGUGGGUUCGAUUCCCACAGGGG